GCCCUUCUAGCCCCUGAAUUCAUACCAGAAUCCAGGAUCUUAUUUGGAGAUGAGGUAACAGAAGAAGAGUCAUCCUGAGCGAGCUCACUGCUGACACGCCAAUGGUUGAAACCCAUGGCCCUUUGAAAUGUGCUGCUCACUCCUGUGUGCUGCUGGGUGUUUCCUGAAAGCUACGUUCCAACUGUGCUCUGAGAUCCCGCAACUUUCUGAGGGUGCUGAGUAUGGAUGGAGUGUGGGGCCCUGACAACUAGAGAACUUGCUCAAACCUGGCCGUUUCCUCAGUUGUGGUGGUUUUAAAACAUGUCUGCAAACCCUCAGACCUUCCUCUCAUUAAGAGGUAUGUGAGUGAGCAAACCAUGAGAGGAGUCCAGCCCUGGCCUUCCAGCCGUCCCAGCUGAGCGGAGAGACAGACAUGCUGUUCCUGCAGCAUCCUGGCCAAACUGCCAAUUCGAUUUCAAGGCAGUCUUCUCCCAAAAGAGAAUUCUGAGGCUGGCCCACUACAAUGUAUUUCUGCAGACAGAAGAUGAGAACAAGGCCAAAUGAUCAGUUGUGGCAUCUUUCAGUCAUAAGUUCAAUGAUUCUGGGCACAAGGCAAGGAGCCCUCUAAGGGAAGGAAGUCAUUCAUCGAAAUUAGAGCCACAGGCGGCUGAGGACAGGGCCAGGGACCAGCAGAGAUUCUGGACAAGGUGACUGUCUGGUUGGCACCUGGGCUCUUCCCCUGCUGAAUCUUUCUCUUGCAACUUUGUGUGUAUACGCCCGGUCACCAUGCACUCAGGAUCCUGAGGGUGUGAGAUCUGCAUGGUAUUUGCUUUUCAUGGUGCCCACCCAAGCAAUGAUUGGCACUAGAUACACAGUGGGUCACAUGCUUGUAGAAUUAGCUUGUAGAAUUACCAUAUCCACUCCCAGAACCCAGAACAUAUCCACUCCCCAAAUUAGCAUAUGCUUGUAGAAUUAGCAUAUCCACUCCCAGAACUCACACUUCUCAUAAUCGUUCAUUCAACAAACCAUAUUAAAUUACUUCUCUGUGCUAAGCAACAGGGACAAAAGCAAAAUAAGUCCCAACCCCUGUCCACAAGAGUCUAAGAAUCUAGUAGAGGAUGGAAAGAAAGAGGCAAUUAUUCAAAGGUAAGAUAAGUACUGGGUCAUGGAUCCACUCAUCAAGUGGCUAUUGAGCAUUUUCUAUGUAUUAGGCUUUGUCAGUUACCUGGGAUUCGGGGGAAAUAAGGCACAUCUCUGUUAAAAAAAAAAAAAAAAAAACUAUGAGUUUGAUUGUGUGAUGGGUGUCUAGAGGACAGGAAAAGUGGACAGGAGAAAAUUCCCCAGCACCUAACACAGUGCCAAGCACAAAGAGUCACUCAGCAAAUAUUUAUUGAAUGAGAGUUGACUAAAACAAAUAAUUACAGAACAUGAUACAGACUAUGACAGAAGCAAAAGUGGGCUGUGGCUAUUUGAAAAUCAGAGCAUCUUUUAAAAGGGAGACGGCAUCUGAACCUUGCCGAGUAGGAAUGUUCCAGAAGUAAGAGAGAUGACUAGGGUUUCAAGAACAAGGACCAGCACCUAUGAAGGCUCUGAGGCACAGACCACUGUGACCUGUGGAGAAGUGGUGAGUGGAGAAGGAGCAUGGGUUUGGUGGGGAUGGUAGGGAAUGGCCAGUAAUGGGGUAGGAACAAUAAGUCUAAGGCUACAUCCCUGAGGGAUUUAUGACAUAUGAACACUGGAGAAGCAAGUGGACAGCUGCUGCUCCUCUGUAUCUGCACUUUCACAGCAGAAAGUAGAAGGCACCUCUCACCUACCUGAUAACGGAGGAGGUGAGAAUGUAGGCUUUAGAAUCAAGUGGACCCUGGGUUCAAAUCCCAGCACUGCUACCUUUGAACAAUGAGCUGUUGGGCAAGUAACUGAGCCUCUCUGCACCUCAAUAGUUUCGUCUCCUAAACAAGUACCAUGAUAUCCACCCAGGGGAGUGUUGGAAAGGAAUAAAUAAGGUAAGGUAUGUAAAAUCUUGAUUAGAGUACCUGGCCUACAGUGACUAUUUUGAAAGCAUUGUUUUGUUAUUGUUAUUACUGUAAUAAUUAUUAUUCCUGUCAUUCUAUUUGGAAUAAUGUUACUUCUCAUCUAUCCUUUACUGCCUAUAAAAAAAAGUUAAAUUUGAGGCCAAUCUUUUCCAUAUUGGUUAUCUCCACAGAGCAAAUGAAUUUAGAGCCAUUACUUGAUGGUGAGUGGGGAUUACUCAGGUUGGAAGGAACCUCCAAGUGCACAUGGCCCGACAAACCUCCUCAAUUUACCACUGAGGAGCCUGAGGCCCAGGUACCAAAGGCUGGCCCCUGGCCCCAAAACAGCUUACAGAGAGAACUGGGCUAACCCCUAGGCCUUCAGGCCCCAAUCCAGACCCUCCAGAUACAGUUCACUGUCUCCCAUUUAACCCUGUUGCCAAGUCGACAAGGUCAAGACUAAAAUCUACUGCAAACGCCAACCUCUCAGACACAAAUCAGAGGGCCCUACCCGACUCACUGGGCCCACAGAGGUUGGUUUGCUUUCUUCACACUCUCUGCAGCAUCCACAGGCUGCUGCUCAAAUCUGAGAACAGACUCUGCCCUGGAGCCCUCAAAGAGGAGAUGAGAGGCCCCUCCCAGCCAGUGUCAGCUUACAGUGGGAACAGGGCCUGGGGCACAGCCAGAGCCAGGCUGACACUGGAAUGCUGUUGCUUCCCCAUGCUCUCAUCCCCAGCAGAGGCAGUGUCAGGCUGUGGCCGGCCUCACCAUAGCAAGGGGCGUGUUUCUCACCAGAAGGCCUGGCAGGGUCACUCUGGAGUCAGCCCCUUUUCUGUCAUUUGCUGCAGGCUCCCACAGUUUCCCAGAACUGCCCCCUUGGUCAGAGUCACGGUUCUCCUCUGGAAGAGAAGCUCAAGGGCAGACCCUCGGCAGGAAGCAGACCAGCAUUUUCUGGAACUUCCCCGGUCGCUCUUCAGACCCCUCACUGAGGGAUUUAAUGGGAGGACUCACACGGCCUGAACAAGCCAAGUGAAGCACUUGUCUGCUAUUCUGUUCCCUUUGUGAGACUCAGAGUACCUGCCAUACCCAUAGUCAAAUUUAAAUAAAUAUUUAACAAAAGGGGUUAUUUUCUACACCAUGAGAAAAAGAGGUGAUUUUCUACACCAGAAGUUAUUAUUCUCUACUCACAGCUGGCCAGACCGUGGGUGAGGUUCCUAACCCAUAGGUAGCCAAGAUGUUGGCCCAUGUGGGAACCGUGGUCCAGCCAGUAGGACUCUCCUGUGCUGGAUGGUACUGACCCAUUGAGCCAAUCAGAUUCUCUCUCGUGCCUUACUGUGUUCUCCAAAUACAUAUUGAGAACUUCCAUGUGCCAAGCUCUAUGCUAGGUUCCAGUGAUACAAACAUAGAAGGGGCUCUGUAACCCCAGACCUCUGUGCUCUUAGAAGGAGUUCAGUAUAGGAAUCCAUUCCUUAUUAGCAACUUAAACUAACUGUUGGGAUUUUGUUGCAACAUAUACACAACUCUCAUUUAUAAUGUAACAGUUACUUUAAAUAAACUGAUGAAUUUAUCAGGACCCUCGAAUUCAAGGAACAGAAACCUAACCCAAUCUGGCAUAAAGAAAAAUUAGAAUUUACUGGCUCAUAUCCACAAAGGCUAGGACUAGAGCUGUCCUCAGGAAUUCAAAUAAUGAUAUCGUCUCUCCCUCUCUCCUUCCUCUCCCACCCCAUCUCAUUCCAUAUCUCAGAUCUCUGCUUCUCUCCAUCUGUUGGACUCAUUCUUUCCUCACAUAGCAGAGCUUUAUUCACACUGCAGGAGACGUGGCAUGGGCAGCUCCAGGCUUCAUCAACCUAGAUUUGCAACUCCCAAGGAAACAAAGAUUUCUCUCUCCUAGCACUCAGAGGUAAAAUUCAAGGGAAGAACACCAAUAAACCAAACUUAGGUCAUGUGGCCAUCAUGAAGCCAAUCACUGUCGCAAGAUGCGUGAGAUCCCAUGAUUGGUCAAACCUUGGUCACAUGACACAGCUCACCCACCAGAACCACAUGGUGCAAACGAACAGUUCCCCACAGCAAGGAGGGUGCCUUUCCAUAGAAAGGGAGUAGAUGCUGAAUAGGAUGGAGAGGAGGAGGCAGAGAGAGACGUCUGUUACACCAGAAGGAAUAAAAGGAAAAACUUGUUUUCCAAAAGAAAAGGUAGAAAAGGACUUUACCAAAGAGUAGUUUUAGGAUUGUUGCUAAUGGCCAGCUUUAUUAGAAUACAGAAGACAUUGAUAUACUUUAAACAAUUUAAUGAGUGGCAAUUCUCAUAAGAUAUACAGAAGGAGUGAGUCAGCACAGAACUAAUACAGUGACAGAGGACAAACCAAGUAUCUUUGAGGGAGGAAGAGAACUCACAUGCAUUGAACAUUUACUGGGUGCAGUACCUUGUUAUGAAACUCUGUUGCUAUCCUAUGAGACAGACACUAUUGUUUCCCUCCAUUUACAGGAGCAGGAACUCAUGCUCAGAGAAGUGUUCAAAAAAAAAACAAAAAAACAAAACAAAAAGGCCUCACUGAUAAUCCUAUGACUAGUAAGUGUGGGGCUGGGAUGUGAUUCCAAGUUCGCCUGAUUCCAAAGCUCAUGCUCUUUCUACAAGUUCGGUCUGCGUUCCAAAGGCAAAAUUGCAGCCCUGCUGAAAGGUGGAGGGGUGAACAAUGAGUCCCUCCUCUAUUUAUAGACAGAGAACAAAACCAGACAGCCCAAAAGGGCAGAAGUGCCAAGAAGGAAAAUAGUUUUUCUGGGUCCUUUAUGAGGACAUUUUUACUCCCAAAAUGGAGAUGGUGCCGGAAAGUAAGAUUGCCCAUCACGAACUGCUGCAGCAGCCAGGACAAUGCAGCCAAGAAAGGACAAUGGGUUCAGCACCCAGGGGUCAUUAGUGGCCCUCAAGAGGCUGCUUCAACAGAGGAGUGUGUCCAGACCUGAUAUUUAAAGCAGUUUACAGCAAGCAACUGGUUGAGAAAUCGAGGCUUCUAAAGUAGACCUACUCAUUCAAGAAUAGCAGUAAAUAUAAUGAUAUCUGCAUGUUUUAAAAUUACAGGGAAGCAAUGAAUCAAGAGGAAAGGUUAAAAAAUCAGACUUUAAUAAAAAUGAGUGCUUAUCUUAUUUUGCAGAUAGAAAAGUGCAAGAAAGACAUGCUAUUAGAGACAGAAAUAAAAAUCCAAAUUAACUGGACCAGCUGAGACUCUGGACUGGGAAAACAUGAGUCUGAACCACUACAGGGUUCUCGGGGAGUUGUAUCUUUCCUGACACACUGUUUGUUCACCCUUUUCUUUGGGCAACAGAUGCCAUUCCUGACCACAUGGGUUGUCCUGUAAAUGGUCUGGCCACUUGUGAUACUUCAUGCCACUGGAAACAGUAGUCAGUUGACCUAAUGUGACUCAAACUAAGCCAGCCAGUCUGUCUCUCUGAGAUUGGUGUAUGGGCAUUGGAAGAGCAGUCUUCUCUCUCCAUUAGAUUGUGAAGCUGGGGUCACGCAAGAGAAAGGCUUAAGCAGCCCCCCACGCAUGAGCAACACAGAUUAGCAAUGACCUGGGCAAAGGGGAUUUCUCUCUCUCAGCACCCAUACGUAAAAUCCGAAGAAAGGAUCUCUGGACAUGUGAAGGAAGCCCAUUCAUAAGUAGGAAAAAAUGAGGCCAGUCCAAAGAAAGAUGGAGAGAGAGAGAAAAACAAACAACAACCUUCAAAACUCUGAAUCUAGCCAAAUCUGCUCCCCAUCCUGGACUUUCUCCUUUAUUGGGCCAUAAUCAAAGAGUCCAGUUGUUUUCAUUUCUAGCUGCCACAGAUAAGUGAGAACAUGUGCUUUUUGUCUUUCUGUAUCUGGCUUGUUUCACUUAACAUAAUGACCUACAGUUCCAUCCCUGUCGUUGGAAAUGAUGGGAUCUCAUUCUUUUUUAUGGGUGUAUAGUACUCUUUUUUAUAUUUAAGGAAGUUUGAAGUGAGUUUCUCUAGCUGGCAGCCAAAAUAGAGUUCACUAACAUAACUCCCAUUGAAGCCUCAAUCAAACCUCAAUAGGUUGCCCUGUGAAUGGAAAUUAAAAUUUUGACCUGCUGGAGCCGCUGAGAAUGAAUAUAAUUUUUUUAAAAAGGCAUGGAGCUCUGUCCUCAAGAAACUCAUAGUCAUGGGAAGUUUUUUGCUUUCCUGCUACAAAUAGGAAAUCCUUCAGAAAGGUUGAUGAUGUCAGUGUAGGUAUGUGUGGUGGGAGAGGGAAUGGCAGGGGAGGCACAAUCCUCUUCCAAAAGAUAAAUAAUAAUGACCAAGCUAAUUAUCACACUUGACAGAUACACACAGGAGCCAAAGGGUGGUGCGCAGAGCUUUGUAUGUUUCUCAUUGAGACACAUCAGCCCACCUCGAGCCUCUCAUUGGGCUUCCAGACAUCUUUUCUCUCUUGCCUAGCUUUUCCUUCCUUUCUUGGGAUUCCCUUGUCCAGUUGGCCCUUUGGGCUCCCCUGCCCUCCCUCCAGGGCUCCCAGAAAAGCAGCUCCAUUCACUCCCAUUGGGAGCUGAAGAGAGUUGAGUCAGAUUCCUUCAUGGAAGGGGGCUUUGGGCUCUUUGGUAAAACAUCAAAAGCUCAGCAAAUUUUGCUCUAACAAUGCCAUCUCUCCUCUCACAGCACCUCUUCCAUUAACUACUGCAUUUGGAAAUGUUUGUCUCUUUUCUCUGUCUUACCAGAAGCAUUUUCCCCAAAAGAAGGGUGGGAAGAAAAGACAAUUAGAGAGGGACCAGUGCUCAGGAACAGUCUUAGAACUCUCCCACAGGGCAGGCCACUGGGUGGCACAAGCUGAAGGAUUCUGGGCAGUCCCCCUUCCCUCCCUCCACAAAAGCAAUAUGCUGUCUUAUGCUUGGAACAUCACUUACAAACUGUAAAGCCAUGCUAUGCAGCUAUUAGAUAUCAUUUUUUAAAACCCUACUCCAAAAAACUCUUUCCAUACAUAGUAGACCUGCAAUAAGGAGGGUUUUUAAAUGGAGGGAUUCCAUUGGUUUAUAGAAUUAUUUUCAAAUUCAGAGACCCUUGCACUGUCUUCCCCAUGCUGCUGGUGAAGAAGUGAAUCAUUACAACCUUCCUGGUAGGUUAUUUGGCAGUGUGCCUCAAAAGCCUUAAAAAUGUUCAUUUUUUUUUGAACCCCACAAUUUUAAUUCCAGAGCAUGAAUGGGCUCCACCAUUUACCAGCCAUGUGAUUUAGGCUCUCUGAACCUCAGUUUCCUCAUCUCUAAAAUGGGGAUAAUAUCAUAGGCUGGUUGUGAGGAUUAAAUGAAAUAUAUGGAAUGCCUUAGAAUGAUGUCCAGCAUACGAUUACAUGCUAUGUGUGAGCUAAGUAAGUGAUCAGAGAGAGAAGUAGAAAUACAUCUCAGUAUUAUUUUAAUUGACAACAUUUAGAAACAUGUCUAAUAAUGGAUUGUUAGCUAAACUAAUUAUGUGGAUCCAUAAGAUGGAACAUUACAUGCCCGUUUUAAAAAUCAUGUUUUCAAAGAAUAUUUGAUGAUAUGGGAAGAUGUUCAUAAUAUAUCACUGGGCAAAAAAAUUCGCGUUUUGAAUAACAUACACAGUAUAAUCUGAAUAUCAAUAUAAAAGGUAAAGAGAAUACUUCAAAGUAUUAUUGGCAGGUAUCUCUAAGUAAAGAACCUUUUCUGCAAUGGAAUCACCUGGGGAACUUAAUAAAACAAUCCUGCUCUAGGAUACCAUCCCUAGAAAUUCUGAUCAAAUUGGCCUGGGCUGUGACCUGGGCCUCAGGAUUCGUAUUUUCUUCCACAUGCUUGGAUACUUUCCCUAGAUUUUUUCCCCAAAGUUUUCUAAAAUAAAUAUGUAUCACUUUUAUAAUUAGAAAUUAAAACCAUAAAUGCUGUUUAAAAGACAUUUCAAUUACCCCCACGAGAGUGGCUGACUAAGCAAUGAUUUUAGUGACUGGCUUACCAGAUAGUUUUCUCCCAGGGAAAGCUGGAGUUUGGCAGAGGAGGGAGAAGCAAUUCAGAGUAUGAGUCACUGCCCUGGGGAACAGACCUAGGAGGGGCACUAGAUGGGGAAGGAGGUGUGGGGCUCAAGGUGAGGACACUGGCCACUUGAGGGGCCAGGGCAGGGACUGAAGAGGUCCUACUGACCAGCUUUACAGGCUGAGCCUGUUGCACAGGCCACUCGGUUAUUUAUGGCCCUUCCUGUCUGAGGCCUUGCUAGGAGCCCCUUGUGAUACUGGGGUUUCAUUUGUGUGUGUCAGCAUUAUGCUUUCUCUU
RNAcentral lists this long non-coding RNA (8245 nucleotides) under Homo sapiens (human). RNAcentral's name for it is "HSALNT0330537". Lineage: Eukaryota; Metazoa; Chordata; Mammalia; Primates; Hominidae. The record is from RNAcentral.